RNAcentral lists this ribosomal RNA (450 nucleotides) under uncultured bacterium. RNAcentral describes it as "partial 16S ribosomal RNA". It matches the Rfam family "Bacterial small subunit ribosomal RNA", at positions 354 to 796 of the family's 1533-position model. The record is from RNAcentral.
GUGGGGAAUAUUGGACAAUGGUCGAAAGCCUGAUCCAGCCAUGCCGCGUGUGUGAAGAAGGUCUUCGGAUUGUAAAGCACUUUAAGUUGGGAGGAAGGGCAGUAAGUUAAUACCUUGCUGUUUUGACGUUACCGACAGAAUAAGCAUCGGCUAACUUCGUGCCAGCAGCCGCGGUAAUACGAAGGGUGCAAGCGUUAAUCGGAAUUACUGGGCGUAAAGCGCGCGUAGGUGGUUUUGUAAGUUGGAGGUGAAAUCCACGGGCUCAACCUGGGAACUGCCUCCAAAGCUGCAUGACUAGAGUACGAUAGAGGGUAGUAAUGUUUCCUGUGUAGCGGUGAAAUACGUAGAUAUAGGAAGGAACACCAGUGGCGAAGGCGACUACCUGGACUGAUACUGACACUGAGGUGCGAAAGCGUGGGGAGCAAACAGGAUUAGAAACCCGUGUAGUCC